GACGAACGCUGGCGGCGUGCUUAACACAUGCAAGUCGAACGGAAAGGCCCUGCUUUUGUGGGGUGCUCGAGUGGCGAACGGGUGAGUAACACGUGAGUAACCUGCCCUUGACUUUGGGAUAACUUCAGGAAACUGGGGCUAAUACCGGAUAGGAGCUCCUGCUGCAUGGUGGGUGUUGGAAAGUUUCGGCGGUUGGGGAUGGACUCGCGGCUUAUCAGCUUGUUGGUGGGGUAGUGGCUUACCAAGGCUUUGACGGGUAGCCGGCCUGAGAGGGUGACCGGCCACAUUGGGACUGAGAUACGGCCAAGACUCCUACGGGAGGCAUCAGUGGGGAAUAUUGCACAAAGGGCGGAAGCCGUAUGCAGCAACGCCGCGUGCGGGAUGACGGCCUUCGGGUUGUAAACCGCUUUCGCCUGUGACGAAGCGUGAGUGACGGUAAUGGGUAAAGAAGCACCGGCUAACUACGUG
This 468-nucleotide ribosomal RNA is filed under the name uncultured bacterium. RNAcentral describes it as "partial 16S ribosomal RNA". It matches the Rfam family "Bacterial small subunit ribosomal RNA", at positions 28 to 507 of the family's 1533-position model. The record is from RNAcentral.